GGGGAUACAGCUCAGUGGUAGAACAUAUGCUUCACAUGUAUGAGGCCCCAGGUUCUAUCCCUGCCAUCUCCC
This 72-nucleotide transfer RNA is filed under the name Ovis aries (sheep). It matches the Rfam family "tRNA". From Rfam's summary of the family: Transfer RNA (tRNA) molecules are approximately 80 nucleotides in length. The record is from Rfam by way of RNAcentral. Lineage: Eukaryota; Metazoa; Chordata; Mammalia; Artiodactyla; Bovidae.